RNAcentral lists this ribosomal RNA (323 nucleotides) under uncultured prokaryote. RNAcentral's name for it is "bacterial SSU rRNA". It matches the Rfam family "Bacterial small subunit ribosomal RNA", at positions 26 to 352 of the family's 1533-position model. The record is from RNAcentral.
AGGACGAACGCUGGCGGCGUGCUUAACACAUGCAAGUCGAACGGUAACAGGCCCUUCGGGGUGCUGACGAGUGGCGGACGGGUGAGUAAUGCGUAGGAAUCUACCCACGAGUGGGGGAUAGCCCGGAGAAAUCCGGAUUAAUACCGCAUAUGCCCUACGGGGUAAAGCGGGGGAUCGUAAGACCUCGCGCUGGUGGAUGAGCCUACGUCCGAUUAGUUAGUUGGUGGGGUAAAGGCCUACCAAGGCUACGAUCGUAGGCUGGUCUGAGAGGAUGAUCAGCCACACUGGGACUGAGACACGGCCCAGACUCCUACGGGGGCAGC